Molecule: ribosomal RNA, 990 nt
Filed under: uncultured bacterium
Lineage: Bacteria
Description: bacterial SSU rRNA
Rfam family: Bacterial small subunit ribosomal RNA
Source: RNAcentral
GAGUUUGAUCAUGGCUCAGAUUNAACGCUGGCGGCAGGCCUAACACAUGCAAGUCGAGCGGAAACGAGUUAUCUGAACCUUCGGGGAACGAUAACGGCGUCGAGCGGCGGACGGGUGAGUAAUGCCUAGGAAAUUGCCCUGAUGUGGGGGAUAACCAUUGGAAACGAUGGCUAAUACCGCAUAAUGCCUACGGGCCAAAGAGGGGGACCUUCGGGCCUCUCGCGUCAGGAUAUGCCUAGGUGGGAUUAGCUAGUUGGUGAGGUAAUGGCUCACCAAGGCGACGAUCCCUAGCUGGUCUGAGAGGAUGAUCAGCCACACUGGAACUGAGACACGGUCCAGACUCCUACGGGAGGCAGCAGUGGGGAAUAUUGCACAAUGGGCGCAAGCCUGAUGCAGCCAUGCCGCGUGUGUGAAGAAGGCCUUCGGGUUGUAAAGCACUUUCAGUCGUGAGGAAGGUAGUGUAGUUAAUAGCUGCAUUAUUUGACGUUAGCGACAGAAGAAGCACCGGCUAACUCCGUGCCAGCAGCCGCGGUAAUACGGAGGGUGCGAGCGUUAAUCGGAAUUACUGGGCGUAAAGCGCAUGCAGGUGGUUUGUUAAGUCAGAUGUGAAAGCCCGGGGCUCAACCUCGGAAUUGCAUUUGAAACUGGCAGACUAGAGUACUGUAGAGGGGGGUAGAAUUUCAGGUGUAGCGGUGAAAUGCGUAGAGAUCUGAAGGAAUACCGGUGGCGAAGGCGGCCCCCUGGACAGAUACUGACACUCAGAUGCGAAAGCGUGGGGAGCAAACAGGAUUAGAUACCCUGGUAGUCCACGCCGUAAACGGUGUCUACUUGGAAGGUUGUGGCCUUGAGCCGUGGCUUUCGGAGCUAACGCGUUAAGUAGACCGCCUGGGGGAGUACGGUCGCNAGAUUAAAACUCAAUUGAAUNGACGGGGGCCCNCACAAGCGGUGGAGCAUGUGGUUUAAUUCGAUGCACGCGAANANCUUACCUAC